GACGAACGCUGGCGGCGCGUCUUAAGCAUGCAAGUCGAACGGCAAGAGAGAAGCUUGCUUCUCUCCUAGAGUGGCGGACUGGUGAGGAACACGUGGGUAAUCUGCCCUUAAGAUGGGGAUAGCUGCUAGAAAUAGCAGGUAAUACCGAAUACACUCGGCGCUUCAUAAGAGGUGUUGAGGAAAGGAAGCUAUGGCUUCGCUUGAGGAUGAGCUUGCGUCCCAUUAGCUAGUUGGUGAGGUAAAGGCUCACCAAGGCGACGAUGGGUAUCCGGCCUGAGAGGGUGAUCGGACACAUUGGGACUGAGAUACGGUCCAAACUCCUACGGGAGGCAGCAGCUAAGAAUAUUCCGCAAUGGACGGAAGUCUGACAGAGCGACGCCGCGUGGAUGAAGAAGGCUGAAAAGUUGUAAAAUCCUUUUGUUGAUGAAGAAUAAGGGUGAGAGGGAAUGCUCAUCUGAUGACGGUAAUCGACGAAUAAGCCCCGGCUAAUUACGUGCCAGCAGCCGCGGUAACACGUAAGGGGCGAGCGUUGUUCGGAAUUAUUGGGCGUAAAGGGCAUGUAGGCGGUUGUGUAAGCCUGGUGUGAAAUCCUGGGGCUUAACCCCAGAAUAGCAUUGGGUACUGCACGACUUGAAUUACGGAAGGGAAACUGGAAUUCCAAGUGUAGGGGUGGAAUCUGUAGAUAUUUGGAAGAACACCGGUGGCGAAGGCGGGUUUCUGGCUGAUAAUUGACGCUGAGAUGCGAAAGUGUGGGGAUCGAACAGG
Molecule: ribosomal RNA, 765 nt
Filed under: uncultured Treponema sp.
Lineage: Bacteria; Pseudomonadati; Spirochaetota; Spirochaetia; Treponematales; Treponemataceae
Description: bacterial SSU rRNA
Rfam family: Bacterial small subunit ribosomal RNA
Source: RNAcentral